UACAGGGGGGGCAAGCGUUGUUCGGAAUUACUGGGCGUAAAGGGUUCGUAGGUGGCCACUUAAGUCAGACGUGAAAUCCCUCAGCUUAACUGGGGAACUGCGUCCGAUACUGGUUGGCUUGAGUUUGGGAGAGGGAUGCGGAAUUCCAGGUGUAGCGGUGAAAUGCGUAGAUAUCGGGAGGAACACCAGUGGCGAAGGCGGCUUCCUGGCCUGUUCUUGACGCUGAGGCGCGAAAGCUAGGGGAGCAAACGGG
This 253-nucleotide ribosomal RNA is filed under the name uncultured bacterium. Its description in RNAcentral is "partial 16S ribosomal RNA". It matches the Rfam family "Bacterial small subunit ribosomal RNA", at positions 524 to 776 of the family's 1533-position model. The record is from RNAcentral.